ACGAACCGUACGAACGUUAUUCGGAUUCACUGGGCUUAAAGCGUGCGUAGGCGGCUGGGAAAGUUGGGUGUGAAAUCCCUCGGCUCAACCGAGGAAUUGCGCCCAAAACUACCUGGCUUGAGGAAGAUAGAGGUAAGCGGAACUAAUGGUGGAGCGGUGAAAUGCGUUGAUAUCAUUAGGAACACCUGUGGCGAAAGCAGCUUACUGGGUCUUAUCUGACGCUGAGGCACGAAAGCUAGGGGAGCGAACGGGAUUAGAUACCCCGGUAGUCCUAGCUGUAAACGAUGAGCACUGGGUUGAGGGGACUUCCACAUCCUCUCGGCCGUAGCGAAAGUGUUAAGUGCUCCGCCUGGGGAGUAUGGUCGCAAGGCUG
This 373-nucleotide ribosomal RNA is filed under the name uncultured bacterium. RNAcentral describes it as "bacterial SSU rRNA". It matches the Rfam family "Bacterial small subunit ribosomal RNA", at positions 525 to 896 of the family's 1533-position model. The record is from RNAcentral.